CAUACCGCGAUAGAGGGAGGAAGGCUCUAGGGAGUCUGACACCGCUUUUGACAGGGAAGAAUCCAUGACGGUACCUGUCGAAUCAGCCUCGACGCUAACUCCGUGCCAGCUCCCGCGGUAAUACGGAGGAGGCAAGCGGAUAUCCGGAAUUAUUGGGCGUAAAGGGUUUGUAGAUGGUUGGAUGUGUCUGCUGUUAAAGCCAAUAGCUCAACUAUUGAGGUGCAGCGGAAACUAUUCGACUAGAGGACAGUAGGGGCAGAGGGAAUUCCCAGUGUAGCGGUGAAAUGCGUAGAUAUUGGGAAGAACACCGGU
RNAcentral lists this ribosomal RNA (312 nucleotides) under uncultured bacterium. RNAcentral describes it as "bacterial SSU rRNA". It matches the Rfam family "Bacterial small subunit ribosomal RNA", at positions 393 to 713 of the family's 1533-position model. The record is from RNAcentral.